Aedes albopictus (Asian tiger mosquito) is the source of this 613-nucleotide long non-coding RNA. RefSeq lists it as uncharacterized. The transcript has 3 exons. The record is from RefSeq and is a predicted model, not a curated record. Lineage: Eukaryota; Metazoa; Arthropoda; Insecta; Diptera; Culicidae.
CGGUUGCAAGUCAAGCAGACCAGAUAGUUAUUAUCAAUCAGUGCGCGAAUUAGCAGUUACCGAUAGUGUUAAAUGCGGUCUGACCGACAACGCAGUAUAAUAUUAGGAUGGUUCACACAAUAAAUACGAUGGCUUACUGGGAGUGAGCUGAGCAAUUCUUUUGAGAUCGGCCUUUUCUUGUUACCAACGAGUGUCGUGGUGAAGGUCGUGGUGGUUUCGCUAAUGGCAUGCAGAGCAGCGGGGCGGCCGGCAUGGCGCCGGUGGUCCUCCUCAUCUGUCCGGACAGGAUUGUCUCCUCAAGCAGACGCCGUGGGAUACACCUGCACACAGACACCACACCCAACACAACAACCCUAGAGUAAGACGGUAGGAUAAGUAGCAGCAAUAAAUGUAAGUACUCUAAACCUGAUCACUCCAUUCUAUUUGUGAAAUUAGAACUUUUCUUUUGCUCGGGAUGACUCGUGUAAGUCAGCGUUUUGGUUCCGCUUUCUCGAACCAGUUUCUUUCUUACGGGUCGAGCAGAUGGGUCGGGGGACCAGUGCUCAUUGCAACCCGUCUAUUUUACUCAAAUUUUGUCUCCCUGUCUCAUGCGCCCUCUGCGGAGCGGUGACAA